UACGUAGGGGGCAAGCGUUAUCCGGAUUUACUGGGUGUAAAGGGAGCGUAGGCGGCAGAGCAAGUCUGAAGUGAAAGCCCGCGGCCCAACUGCGGGACUGCUUUGGAAACUGCCCGGCUAGAGUGCUGGAGAGGUAAGCGGAAUUCCUAGUGUAGCGGUGAAAUGCGUAGAUAUUAGGAGGAACACCAGUGGCGAAGGCGGCUUACUGGACAGUAACUGACGUUGAGGCUCGAAAGCGUGGGGAGCAAACAGG
Molecule: ribosomal RNA, 253 nt
Filed under: uncultured bacterium
Lineage: Bacteria
Description: partial 16S ribosomal RNA
Rfam family: Bacterial small subunit ribosomal RNA
Source: RNAcentral